Long non-coding RNA from Homo sapiens (human), 2271 nucleotides. NCBI's taxonomy places the organism in Eukaryota, Metazoa, Chordata, Mammalia, Primates, Hominidae. The record is from Ensembl.
CUUCCAACUCGACCCACAGCUCUGCCAGGAGAGGCAGCUGUGUCCAGAGGGGCAGGGAGACCUGCCUAGUGACCUGGCUGGUUGGUGACACAGCCAGGCCUAAGAAUGGAGUCUUCUGGUGACAGUUUAGUGUGUUUGAUCAUGAGGAGAGCACUCAGACCCCACAUCCUCGCGGUUGUCUGUUCGUCUGGGACUCCGGGCCCCUGCCCACCUCCUCUGCUUCUCUCAGUGACACCAGGUGGUUUCUUUGCCUGGGAUCCCCACACCUCCAUUCUCUUGAGUGCUUGGAGCUAUGACCUGUGAGGAUCCUUAGAACUCAAGACUACUGGAUGGAGAGGGGAGUGAAGGGGGCCAGCGGAAGCCUGCAGGUGCCUGGCAGGUCUGUGGGUGUCUCUUCUGAGCUACACCAGUUUCCAGGUUACCUGGGACCAUGGAUAACUCUCAGAUCAGCAACUUGUCAGUUGAUUUCCAAGCUGCUGUUGGCUGGACUCAGACUCAGCAGGGAGCACCUGGGCGAGCCCUGUGCUGCGGGCUGGACUCCGGCCCAUCUCGCUGAUUACUCUUGCUUUUGCUCCCCAGUGUGUCCUCAAGAGGUCAGAGCCUGCUUGUUGUUUCUUCAUGACCACGGGAGGAGGGGCACCAACAUGAGGGUGCUAGCAUCUCCCCAGUGGUGGCUUCCCAGGGCUGGGGAAACCCUGGGGGAGGGGUUGGGACAGGGACCUCUGUCGCUUGCUGUCACUGCCUGGGUCAACUGCCUGGCAGGGCUGGCCGCUCGUGCUCAGAAGGCUGAGGCCUUACCUGCCUUCUCCUCUCACCCAGCGCCCAUGUAAGGACACAUCUGAGUUGGCAUUCUGUGUCUGCUCUUGAGCUACUCGCAUGAUAAGUCUUUGUUGUCCUGUGGGAUGUCACCGGUUCAUGCUGAAGAGAAAUUGUAAAGGACUCCUUUGCCUGCUCAGGCCCCAUGGCCUCUGUCAUGUUUUGUCCCCGUCCCUUUGGGAGCACAGCAGCAGUGGGCUGGCUGGACUGUGCAGGCGAGGUUCAAGGAUGAGGUACAGUUGUGUGAAAGGUGAGCCUGCUGGACCGGGGAGCUUUCCUCAAGGCCUCCGCCUGGCUAUGAUGGCGUUAGGGUUGAGGGGAAGCUUCAUCCAAAAUGCACAGUACUUGGAUGUCAAGAUGAUGUUGCUGCUCUCAGGAUGAGUCACUCUCCACCACUGACUUCCUUUGAUGUUCUGAGCUCAGCCUGGAGUCUGACCUGGGACUAUAGCACUUGUUCUCCCAAGGUAAGGCUGGCGGCCAAACCCAGCUGCGCACACCUGAACCUGCUCCUUGGCAGAGAUGAAGGGCGUCAUGUUUCGUAGCCACUCAACACCCAUGGACAAUUUGGCUCCUUGUAAAGACUUAGUCAUGCCUUUGAACUGACUUACUUGAAAUAUAAUUGCUCCUAUUUUGCUCCAAAGACCAGUGGCAUGAUGGGUUAGAGUUAUUUGUAUUUAUUGAGAUUGUUGUAAUUAGCAAUCUCAGGGCUCAGUCUAACUGCAUUAUCCAUGCUGGAAAACUUAAAAAAAAAAUACAGUCCUUCAUCUUCAGUUUUCCAAUGGUCGCCAGUUAUACACAGCUAAUCUUUGCAGUGAAAGUUGUCUUUGGAGAAUGUGCUUUCUUGGUCCCGGGUGGUCCUGGUCUUGGGCUGGAAUCUACGUGAGCUGCUUUGAAGUAAGCUGACAAUACACAAUUAUUAAGGCUAUUUUGACCUGCAAGUAUGGUUUCUUAAAAAGGAACAAUUAAAUACCAUGUAGCAGUUAUUUAGACUUUAGCAUUGACUAAGGAAAGGAGAAAAUGGAAGAAGAACCCCCUCCUGCUUAGAUGCAGUCAUUUUUUAAAAAAAUAAUCUUUUGGGGAAUAAACUUAACCAAGGAGGUGAGGGACUUGUAAACAAAAUGUUAAAACUGCACUGAAGACUAGAAAAUGUUGAUGAAAGCUGUUAAAGAAGACACAAUUAGAUGAUGAAAACACAUCCCAUGUUCAUGGAUUGAAAGACAAUAUUGUUAAGAUGUCAAUACUAUAGAUUCUAUGCAAUCCCUGUCAAAACCCAAUUUUUUUUCAAACAUAGGAAAAUCCAUUCUAAAAUUUACAUGGACUCUCAAGGAACCCUGAGUAGACAAAACAAUCUUGUAAAAGAACAAUGUUGGAGGGCUCACACUUUCUGGUUUCAAAACUACAGUAAUUAAAAAGCUACAGUAAUUAAAACAGCAUGAUAUUGUCACAAAGAUAUAG